CCCACCUGAGGGGGAGACCAGUCCUUCUAACAUUGAUAGCUUCUCUGUGAAUGCUAAUAAUGUCAAGCCAGAAUCGAAGGAUGAUGAGAGGUCAUCUGCUGAUAGAGAAGAAAAUCCUGAUAUUUGAGAAGAUCGGAAGAAUGAAAGAAGUAAUCUGCCUAUGGACAAAAAUAUUGAGAAGACUGGAUAUCUAGGAUUUAAGCCCUUUGCUACAUUUGAAAGCACAGAGACAUGUUCGAGAAGAAAAUGAUAGCGCAGAGGGGACAACUAAGCCAGUGCAGAGAGAGGCUCUCCGUUAUCCUAGAGCAUCUUCUUAUACUUGGGUUGUUUUGCGAUGUCUAGUCACAUUUUGAUCACAGUUGCUGAAGAAUGCAUGAGCUUUGGCUGUUACUUGGAAUCAUGUAUAUUUCAUUAGAGAUGAGAAUGAUAUACAACUAGAGAGGGGGAGAGAGUUAGUGAAUUUUUGUAGCAGUGUAGAAUAUGAGUUGGGCAAUUAUUCCUAUAUUAGUGAGCUGGGAAAUUCUCAUUAAAAAUAUGUUACUUGCAACUCCCUUUUUCAAAUAAAACACAUAGAAAGUAUACUUUGAUUCUAA
Salvia splendens (bonfire salvia) is the source of this 593-nucleotide long non-coding RNA. RefSeq lists it as uncharacterized. The transcript has 2 exons. Lineage: Eukaryota; Viridiplantae; Streptophyta; Magnoliopsida; Lamiales; Lamiaceae. The record is from RefSeq and is a predicted model, not a curated record.